RNAcentral lists this ribosomal RNA (282 nucleotides) under uncultured bacterium. RNAcentral describes it as "partial 16S ribosomal RNA". It matches the Rfam family "Bacterial small subunit ribosomal RNA", at positions 72 to 353 of the family's 1533-position model. The record is from RNAcentral.
AGCUUGUCUUUCUUUGCUGGCGACCGGCGCACGGGUGAGUAACACGUAUCCAACCUACCCUUUACUCGGGGAUAGCCUUUCGAAAGAAAGAUUAAUACCCGAUAGCAUAAUGAUUCCGCAUGGUUUCAUUAUUAAAGGAUUCCGGUAAAGGAUGGGGAUGCGUUCCAUUAGGUUGUUGGUGGGGUAACGGCCCACCAAGCCUUCGAUGGAUAGGGGUUCUGAGAGGAAGGUCCCCCACAUUGGAACUGAGACACGGUCCAAACUCCUACGGGAGGCAGCAUG